This is a long non-coding RNA of Ipomoea triloba (trilobed morning glory), 587 nucleotides long. RefSeq lists it as uncharacterized. The transcript has 4 exons. The record is from RefSeq and is a predicted model, not a curated record. Lineage: Eukaryota; Viridiplantae; Streptophyta; Magnoliopsida; Solanales; Convolvulaceae.
UUAGAUCCACGGCCACAGACCACUGCUUCCACACAAACGCAACUAGACCACUGCUUCCAUCUCCACACCACCGCAGCCUCCACCGCUACCGCAUCCGCCUUCCACCGUCGCAGCCACCACCGCUGUCGCAAACAGAUCUGCCGCCCGCACCAGCCACGACCUCCAUUGCAGCCUUCGUCCACUACCUCCGCCUCAGUCACAGCGACCGCACCUCCGCCUCCAUCGCCUUCGCCGUCGUCUGCCUCCGCCACCAGCGAGCCUCCGUUGUAAGCACCACCACCGUAGCCACCAUCCAUUUUCGCCUCCCCCGCAGCCAGCCACCAGAUCUGCGCAGCGCAACCACCACCACCGUCCGCCAUUUUGCCCUCCACAACAGCCACCACCGUCCGCCAUUUCCGCCUCCAUUGCGCAGGUACAAAAUGUUGACGACAUAGUUAAAGAUUUGCUAAUGCAAAUCCAGAAUGGUGAGGCAGUAGAUCCAAAAGAUAUUGAUGGUCUUAAGCGAAGAAAUUUGAUUGCCCAACAGUAAUUAUCUAGGAGUUGGAAAGGCUACUCAGUAAGGAAGGGUCCUAAGUAUGCUCCCAAAA